UGGGGAAUUUUGGACAAUGGGGGAAACCCUGAUCCAGCCAUCCCGCGUGUGCGAUGAAGGCCUCCGGGUUGUAAAGCACUUUUGGCAGGAAAGAAACGUCAUGGGUUAAUACCCCGUGCAACUGACGGUACCUGCAGAAUAAGCACCGGCUAACUACGUGCCAGCAGCCGCGGUAAUACGUAGGGUGCAAGCGUUAAUCGGAAUUACUGGGCGUAAAGCGUGCGCAGGCGGUUCGGAAAGAAAGAUGUGAAAUCCCAGAGCUCAACUUUGGAACUGCAUUUUUAACUACCGGGCUAGAGUGUGUCAGAGGGAGGUGGAAUUCCGCGUGUAGGAGUGAAAUGCGUAGAUAUGCGGAGGAACACCGAUGGCGAAGGCAGCCACCUGGGAUAACACUGACGCUCAUGCACGAAAGCGUGGGGAGCAAACAGG
RNAcentral lists this ribosomal RNA (429 nucleotides) under Acidobacteriota bacterium. Its description in RNAcentral is "Acidobacteria bacterium partial 16S ribosomal RNA". It matches the Rfam family "Bacterial small subunit ribosomal RNA", at positions 355 to 776 of the family's 1533-position model. The record is from RNAcentral. Lineage: Bacteria; Pseudomonadati; Acidobacteriota.